Long non-coding RNA from Oncorhynchus tshawytscha (Chinook salmon), 717 nucleotides. Lineage: Eukaryota; Metazoa; Chordata; Actinopteri; Salmoniformes; Salmonidae. The record is from Ensembl.
CUCAGAGUCUGGUGAUCGACCACAGUUUGAACAGACAACUGUGUUUGAUGUGGAGUUGUCAUAUCGAGCUGUGACAGUGUGACUAAGAAAGAAAAGCUCAGACAGAACUGGGUCAAUCAGAACCCACAAUGGAGGGAGAGGACCCUAGAUUGUUCAGAGCCACACAGAACAUGAAGUGGUUCUCUGGCAGCUAUACAUAUGAUCAACAAUAGUACAGUUGCUCUUUUUACAGAUGGCUUCACAGUUGAUGAAAAGGACACUCAUCAACAAAUACAUUGUGGCAGAGCCCAUCAAAAUAUUCAACAUUGAUGAUCCCCCUUGUUAUUUUGGGGAGUUUAGUUACAUUCAUUAUAGUCAUCAAAUGUUAUGACCAGAAAAUGCCCAAACAUGCAGUUAUGGACCCCAAAGUAAAAGGCUGGUUUCUUCAAGUCAUUAAGGAAACAAUGCAUCCUGUUAUGAGGAUCAUUCUUUGAACCAUGGCAUUUGGUACAGACUUUCCAGAGGCCUACAGAAACAUCCAUGAGGAGUGGGUGGAGGCGCAGACAAGGACAUCGGAUGUUGAGGGGAGAGAGUCUCCGCCAGGAAUUUACGACCUGAGAUAACAGAACCUGGGUGUUGGACAGAGUGGGAAGCUAUGGUCUAUACCCAGAAAUGGCCACAUCAUGACAUCAGUGCUGACUACAAAGAGCCACAUGACUCAGUGGUGCCGAGGAGCUU